RNAcentral lists this transfer RNA (73 nucleotides) under Astyanax mexicanus (Mexican tetra). It matches the Rfam family "tRNA". From Rfam's summary of the family: Transfer RNA (tRNA) molecules are approximately 80 nucleotides in length. The record is from Rfam by way of RNAcentral. Lineage: Eukaryota; Metazoa; Chordata; Actinopteri; Characiformes; Acestrorhamphidae.
GUUUCUGUAGUGUAGUGGUUAUCACGUUAGCCUCACACGCGAAAGGUCCCUGGUUCGAAACCAGGCAGAAACA